GACGAACGCUGGCGGCGUGCCUAACACAUGCAAGUCGAGCGGAGAUGAUGUGAGGAAGUUUUCGGAUGGAAUCACAUUAUUUUAGCGGCGGACGGGUGAGUAACGCGUGAGCGACCAACCUUGCACAGGGGGAUAACGGACCGAAAGGUUCACUAAUACCGCAUGAGACCACGGUGUUGCAUGACACAGAGGUCAAAGGAGAGAUCCGGUGCAAGACGGGCUCGCGUCCGAUUAGGUAGUUGGUGGGGUAACGGCCCACCAAGCCUAUGAUCGGUAGCCGACCUGAGAGGGUGAUCGGCCACGUUGGAACUGAGAUACGGUCCAAACUCCUACGGGAGGCAGGAGUGGGGAAUAUUGGGCAAUGGGGGAAACCCUGACCCAGCAACGCCGCGUGAAGGAAGAAGGUUUUCGGAUUGUAAACUUCUGUCCUUGGUGAAGAGAAGAAGACGGUAGCCAAGGAGGAAGCCCCGGCUAACUACGUGCCAGCCGCCGCAGUAA
Molecule: ribosomal RNA, 498 nt
Filed under: uncultured bacterium
Lineage: Bacteria
Description: partial 16S ribosomal RNA
Rfam family: Bacterial small subunit ribosomal RNA
Source: RNAcentral